This 549-nucleotide ribosomal RNA is filed under the name Buddenbrockia sp. SH-2006. RNAcentral describes it as "SSU rRNA". It matches the Rfam family "Eukaryotic small subunit ribosomal RNA", at positions 425 to 933 of the family's 1831-position model. The record is from RNAcentral. Lineage: Eukaryota; Metazoa; Cnidaria; Myxozoa; Malacovalvulida; Saccosporidae.
CCAGCAGGCGCGCGAAUUACCCACUCCCGAACUGGGGAGGUAGUGACGAGAAUUAUCGGUCUUACUCUUUGAGCAAAAGACCGGAAUGGACGAAAUUCAGGUCCAUUCGUGAAAACUAGCGAGGGGCAAGUCUGGUGCCAGCAGCCGCGGUAAUUCCAGCCUCGCAUGUAAAUGUAAAAUUUGUUGCAUUUAAAAAGCUCGUAGUCGGACAGUUUCACGACAUUUUGUUCAAAGCCAGCUGCAACUCGGCUAGCCAGUUACGAAGGGUUUUGAACUGGUCAAUUAGUCGUUGCAACUGGAUGAAUAGUCGUGAACAAUCACAAGUUUCGCUUAUACACUUAAUUGUGUGUAGGACUGAAAAUUUGUGGACGUACCUUGAACAAAUCGGUUUGUUCAAAACAGGCCAUAUUGAGCGCCUGGACAUUCGAGCAUGGAAUGAUCGAUCGAGACCUGAUCGUUUGGUCGGAAACGAGUAAGGUCCAGGUCAAAAGGGACAUUUGGGGGCAUACGAACUCGGCAGCGAGAGGUGAAAUUCUAAGACCUGCCGAG